CACCCCCCCCAUUUUUUGGGGGGAAAACCCGUCGACUUGGGGAGUUAGCGGCGGACGGGUGAUUUUACGCGUGGGGGAUAAGCCCUGUAAAAGCGGAUGACAUACCGAAAGGGAUGCUAGUACGGGGUAAUGUACUUUGGUCGCAUGGCAAAAGUGUCAAAGCUCCGGUGGGACAGGAUGGGCCCGCGUCUGAGUAGCUAGUUGGAGAGGUGAUGGCUCACGAUGGUUUUUAUCAGUAGCUUUUCUGACAGGGUGAUCGGCCGCGUUGGAACUGAGACACCCUUUUUACUCCUACGGGAGGCAGCAGCUGGGGAAUAUUGCACAAUGGGCGAAAGCCUGAUGCAGCAACCGCCGCGUGAGCGAUGAAGGCUUUCGGGUCGUAAAGCUCUGUCCUCAAGGAAGAUAAUGACGGUACUUGACGAGGAAGCCCCGGCUAACUACUUGCCAGCAGCCGCGGUAAUACCUAUCGGGGCUAGCGUUAUUCCGGAAUUACUGGGCCGUAAAAGGGUGCGUACGCUGGUUUCCUUACGUCAAAAGGGUAAAAGGCUACCGGUUCACACCGUAAUAAGCCUUUUGAAACUGACAAA
This 587-nucleotide ribosomal RNA is filed under the name uncultured bacterium. Its description in RNAcentral is "bacterial SSU rRNA". It matches the Rfam family "Bacterial small subunit ribosomal RNA", at positions 68 to 640 of the family's 1533-position model. The record is from RNAcentral.